Molecule: long non-coding RNA, 1044 nt
Filed under: Brassica rapa (field mustard)
Lineage: Eukaryota; Viridiplantae; Streptophyta; Magnoliopsida; Brassicales; Brassicaceae
Description: long non-coding RNA (BRAP_LNC000930)
Source: RNAcentral
UUUCUUACAAAAUGUCAUAAAUUAAAGAGAAAUUGCACUCUACACAUUAGCAAAACCACGUAAUUAGCUAAAUGCACUUUAGGCUUAUGCUUAGGAAUUGUCGUCAUAUGUAAUGUCCGUCAUACCCCUAUUACCUUCAAAUGUAUUAUCUUCGAGGAUGCCCACAUAUUUCUGAAAAUAUACACGCAAUAGAUUGUGUCAGACAACUUGUAAUUUUAUAAUGUUUUUUCGUAAAGUUCCCCCAUAUCAUAAAAUCGUCGACACUGAAAGCCUUUGUCUUCUUCCUCUAUAUAUUCUCAACAGUUCCUCUCUGAAUUGAAACCCAUACGACACAAAUCCUAAUAGAAAUCUAUUGCCUUUUAUUCAUCUUCCUAAUGGGUUCAACCAGUCGCAAAACGCCGCGUCAUGAUUUUCCCAGAAGAGUGUUCGCGGUGGGUGAAGAACCAGUGGGCAUUAGGGUUACUCCUUACCACAAACCUUCUUGUAUCUCCAAAAUCAUCAACGCCCUAGAAGAUUAUGAAAUCGCAGUUAUCAAAGCGUCUCCAUUUGGGAAAUUGCUAAAUAUUACAGAAAAACCUUAUUCUCAGGCCGGUUUGGGCGUUUCCUUAUUUCGAGGCAAUUGAAGGUUUUGAAGAAGCACGAGAUCUGGUUUCUUUUUGCUGGUAAACCGGUUAGAUUCUCUUUAAGAGAAUUCGCGUUCGUUACGGGGCUUAAUUGCCGUAGAUUCCCACCGCAUUCAAAGAAGAGGAGCAGCAAAAACAUAUCCGACUUUUGCUGUUAAGUUGUUGCUUAUCUAUCAUUACGUAUUCCAACCCGUCUUUCUCUUUUCUUUUUGCAAUGUGUAAUAUAAAUGCUAUGUUUAUGUCUUGGCAGUUAGCAGUUUCCAUUGGACCUUUUUCUUUAAUCUUCUACAUCUAUAAUUCAUCCCAAUAGCGGUAGUCCAUUUAGGUAGUUAGUAGCUUGCAAAAUUUUUGGCAGUACACACCUCACAUAUUAUUGUGAUAAAUAUGUUUAUAGCUUGUCAAUGACACGUUUAUCCAUCCA